CGCACAAGCAGUGGAGUAUGUGGUUUAAUUCGAAGCAACGCGAAGAACCUUACCAGGGCUUGACAUGCAGGCGGAUGGUUAAGAGAUUAGCCAGUCCUUCGGGACGCCUGUGCAGGUGGUGCAUGGUUGUCGUCAGCUCGUGUCGUGAGAUGUUGGGUUAAGUCCCGCAACGAGCGCAACCCCUGUAGUUAGUUGCCAGCAUUUAAGAUNNNCACUCUAGCGAGACUGCCGGUGACAAAUCGGAGGAAGGUGGGGACGACGUCAAAUCAUCAUGCCCCUUAUGUCCUGGGCUACACACGUACUACAAUGGCUAUAACAGCAGGAAGCGAAGGAGCAAUCCGGAGCAAAUCCUGAAAAAUAGUCUCAGUUCAGAUUGUGGGCUGCAACCCGCCCACAUGAAGUCGGAAUUGCUAGUAAUGGCAGGUCAGCAUACUGCCGUGAAUACGUUCCCGGGCCUUGUACACACCGCCCGUCACACCAUGAGAGUCUGCAACACCCGAAGUCAGUAGUCUAACCCGACAAAAAGGAGGGAGGGCGCUGCCGAAGGUGGGGCCGAUGAUUGGGGUGAAGUCGUAACAAGGUAACC
RNAcentral lists this ribosomal RNA (586 nucleotides) under uncultured bacterium. RNAcentral describes it as "bacterial SSU rRNA". It matches the Rfam family "Bacterial small subunit ribosomal RNA", at positions 922 to 1501 of the family's 1533-position model. The record is from RNAcentral.